GUCUACGGCCCUGCCACCCUGAACAAGCCUGAUCCCAUCUGAUCUUGGAAGCUAAGCAGAGUUGGGCCUGGUUAGUACUUGGAUGGGAGACCACCUAGGAAGACUAGGUGCUGUAGGCA
RNAcentral lists this ribosomal RNA (119 nucleotides) under Pteropus alecto (black flying fox). Lineage: Eukaryota; Metazoa; Chordata; Mammalia; Chiroptera; Pteropodidae. The record is from RNAcentral.